GUGGGUUUCAAGGAUGGGUUUGUUUCUUGUAAAUUCCGAGGCCCGGCUACAAAGCACCACAGUAUGUAAAGACACACAGUCCAAAUAACUGCACACAAAAUUAAAUGUGUUCCAGGCUCGGACUACGUACCAAACGCUGUUUAAUAAAGUGCGACAUGCUGGCUGCGCAUGGAGGAGCUGGGGUGGUCUGUUUGCAGGAAAUAUAAUUUAAACCAGCCGCUUGGCAGGGCUGUGUCAGACUGCAGCGCAGUGCAAACACAGGAACACAGAGCAGAGGGCUUCCCUGUCAUUAGAAAGCAAAGCCAGUCAACUGGAUUAGAAAAACCAAAAACCAGAGGGACGACUGAGAAGGUUUUCUGAUGCUGUUCAGACACCACCAAUUGUGCUCAAGCCUGUGGAAGACGAGACGGAAGCCGGGCGCAACAGGAAACAGGCAUGACAGGCGCACGAGUCAGGUGCUCGCUCUCUUGGCACUGGCAGGGUUAACGGCAGCGAAACCACCGAAACGCUCACUCAGGUUCAGCAGUGUUCGCGGUGUUGUCCAGCUGGAAUCUGCAGAGUCAACAACAAGUCAGAAGACAAGACACCUGCCAGGGCUCCGUAACACAGAGGCACCCGACGCCGGGGAGACGUCUGAUUAAACCCGUUUUCGCAGCAGAUUUAUAACUCGUCUGUUUGAUUUUCAGAACUGAACUGCCUGCCAAGAAUGAGUAAACUAUUCAAAACAAAAAAAGGCAGAAGGCCUACUUACUGUCUAUUUUUUAUUUCAUCCCCUCAUUGUUAAUUACACCAACAUGACAAGUUAAGGAAAUAAACAGAAAAAGUUCUAAAGCUGCAGAAUUCCUAAGUCAUUCAUGUUAACAAAGUUUUAAUGCCACUUUUUAUCAAUUUCAGGAAACACGGAUGCGUUUCCUGUGUUUCCCACAGGCCCUGGGAUUAUACCGAGGCCGUGAACAGACAGACGAUAUCCUCCUGGAGCACCUUCAGCCUCCAACGCUCACCACAGAAUACGAGCAAGAGCAUCCUUCCCUCUUAUUAGUAGAUUAAAUCUGCCCACGUCUGUCUGACCUAAAACCACAUCAAAACUGUUUGUGGUGAGCCAGUGGAUUUAAGACCCACACUGCUGUUUUUACAGGGUUACGCGCUGUGGUGUUUUCAGUGGGUCUCGGCCCAGCGUGCAGCUCGUGGGACUGGGGAGACUCUGGGGCUCACAUCUCGGUUUUAAUUCAACUUGAUAGAAUCCAAUGCGUGUCCUGGAGCACAGCACCUGAUCAUAGACAGACCUGGAAAACUGGGGGGCAUCCUGUCGCCUUAUCAUGGGGUCUGUCGGGUGCGGAAGAUGUACAGUUUACUGCUAGUGCCUGAACUCUGCCCUGCAGUUAUAAUCCACAGCUUCAAUGCAAGGGACCUGCUUUAAAAUUAAAGCAAGAAAGCAAGAAAAAAAAUCAGGGCUUAAAACCUUUUACAAUUCCUUUUACAUAGCUGGAUCCUAACACCACUUUUAGAAGAUGUUUAGAGGGGUUUUUAAAAAAAAUAUAUUAUGAACUUGAAAAUCAGAAAGAAAAUGAUUACAGAUUCAAAGCAUGAGGCCUUACAAACAUCUCUGCAAAAGUCCCUGGGGAGUUUUAUCUGCGUUUUUAAAAACCAGCUUUUUGCAGGUGUCUGUUUUAAGUCACUUCCUUCACAGUGUUCCAUCUGGCCAUGUGUGACCCUCCCCUUCCAGAGAUUUAGGGGUUCAGGGGACCGACAGUAAGGGCCCCGCCGAUAGCCGCUUAUCUGACCCCAGUUUUAACUGUGCCGUCUCAAACCACACUACAUUGUUUUUCGAAGUAGCUGGAGCAGGGAGCUGCGUCAGCAUGCAUGGGCUGCUCAGGAACAGGUACAGGGUUAUUCCCGCUGACAAGAGAAGAAAAGACACGCAAGGUUUCGUCUGUGUGGCCCUCCUCGGGUGUCAAAGGAGGG
Molecule: long non-coding RNA, 1962 nt
Organism: Lepisosteus oculatus (spotted gar)
Lineage: Eukaryota; Metazoa; Chordata; Actinopteri; Semionotiformes; Lepisosteidae
Source: Ensembl